UGGUGGUGUUGGCGUUGGAUGGUGAGGCGUGGUGUUCGGUAACGUUAUAGUGCUUAGUUUCUUCUGUGAUCUUCUUUAACUAUUUGUUAAGAUCUGCUAGCUGUAGGUGGUCAUAUCGGUUUCGUUUCAUUCGUUGUUCAGUUGAUUUCUUAUAUGAUUUGGUUCAUAUGUGCAAGACCCGUGUUUGGGAAUCGUUAGAUCGGAGAAGAGCAUAGAAGAGAAUUGUUGGUUUGAUCGGUAUUGCUAGUAUCUGAGAAAUAUUUCUUCUUUUUUAUUGUCUCCUUUUCGUUUCCGAUUUAUUUUCUGAAGAUCUAAUUACCUGGGGCUUAUUUUUAGCUGGUUUCGAUUUCUUAGAUUGUUAAGAUGAGCUGUUUAUGGUUGUUCUGUUGUGUUUGGCUUUGGAUUAAGCAGCAUACACGCUUGAAGGCCGAGGUGUAUCCGUAGUUAUCUUGGUUAUGAGCUUGAUUGAGGGAAGUUGUGUUUUGAUGUUCAAUUUAUGUACGACAUGUACUUCACAGGAAGCUUGAUGAUUUUUUCGUUGAUUUCAGCUCUCUUAUGAAGCAGAGUUUGAUUCAUGAUAUAUUUUUUACGGUGUACCAUGGUGGAGGUGGUGGAUUAAUAAUCAAGUUGACCGAGUCUUUUUGGAUUAUUGCAAGUCUUUCCUUUCCCUUCAGUUUUGGUGGCUUCUUAAAUUGCUUCUUUAUGUUUCACUUCCAGAAGCUCUUUUCAGUAACUUGUUAUUUUAUCCGUAUUGACAUGCAAACCAGUGGUGCUUUGAAUAUUGAUUUAGAUCUUUAAUCUCUGUUUUAAUUGGUCGUUGUCAUGGUUUUGAUCUUUAGGAAGUUAACUGAAACGGUAGAUUUGGUUGCUCCAUGGUGUUUCUUUCGUCCUCUUAAGGCUUGAACUAUGACUGAGAAAAGGAUUUUUCUUGUAUCAUCUCGUCAAUAAUUUUUUGCUUGAAUUUCCAUACAGCAGCCACCAAUUAUUCUGAAUGUUGUAUUGUUGGUGUGAUUUUCCAGGAUCAUGGAGUGAUCUUGAGGUUGAAACCUACAUAUUGGUGAAACCUGUUGGCAGAGUAGUCAGGAGCCUUUUUAUCCCUCUUUAUUUUGUGUUUGUCUGGAAACUGUUUUUACAUAUCACUAGUUAUUAGGCGCAGAGAACUAGUUUCUGAGUUUGUUCUUUUGCCUUUUUCAGCUUUUUUUAUUUGAGGAAUCCGAUGAAUAGGGAUUUUCAGGGAGUUCUUUUUACCCUUUCUGAUAUUGAUUGCCUCCUCAUUAUAUGAAUAGAAUCCUUGAGUGAUUUUGUUAUCUGAGAAUUUGGUGCUUCUUGUUCCAGGGUGUCUUGAUUCCAUUAUUCUGAGAAAUCAAACAUGGAGGGAUCAGUGUAUGAUAUAUUGAUCGGGAAGUUUCUUUUUCCUAGAUUCCUUCAAUUUUUUAGUGUACCCCUUCCCCGUUCUCUCUCUCUCUCUCUCUCUCUCUCUCUCUCUCUCUCUCUCUCUCUCUCUGUUGUUCUACCCGGAUUGGGUGGUUAAUGCUGCUUGUCAGGUAUCCUUUGUUUCCUAAAAGAUUUUGGGUAUCCAAUAAUUGUUUUUUAUUUUUGUUCGUCUCUUUAUUUCCUUCCUUUUUAGCGAUUGAGAAUGAUCUCUUGUAAAAUUUUAGUUGUGGUAUGCGCUUCUAUGAAUUUCCUAAAACUCCCCAUUGUUUUGAGAAUUUGGAUAGGUUUGUGCCUUGAUUAUUGAUUUAAACAGUUUAGAAUUUGGAUAGGUUAGUGCCUUAGUUUAUUGAUUUAAAAAGUUUCGACUUAAAAAACAAGAAUGUAAGAACUUAGAAUGCUUGCUUUUUCGGGACUGCCCAAGUGGAUUGAGAAAUUCAGGAUUUUUCACAAUGCACCAAUUAUUGACAGGAAUUUUUUUUAUACAAUAAUAUGUUUGCUGUAAUUUCUUGUUAUGUUGAUGUGGUAUGGUAUGUCCAGUUCAAGGUGAUUAAGUUGGAGCUUGCCUUUUGCUUGUUGCCAGGAUCUCAUGGGUGCAUAAGAGGGGGGUUAUUUAAGAUAACGGCUUUAUCAUUAAAUUGGUUUAUUCUUCUAGAUCACAAUUUCAAUGUAAGCUUUUGUUUUCUUCCAGUGAGUUGUUUUGAUGGCGUGUGGAUAGGCCUGACAGAGUCUCUGCCAGUUAUUGGUUUAAAUAGAUAAGUUACUAAAUCAAAGUUUCUAGUGAUUUAUUCAUUUGAGAAAUUGAUGGCUUCACAUGCACUAAGAUUGGCAAGUGUUUACUAAUUACACCAUAAUUUCUCAUUGCAUUGGUGUUCUACAUUGCAAGUUUAAGGUGUUAACUAAAGAUAACACUUGAUGCAUAGAGAGAUCAGUUGAUGUUGGAAAGGGAAAGUUGAUGUAUUUAGCUCAUGCUAUGUAGGUAUGUUGUGGGUAUCUGAGAUUCGGUCUUGUGUUCUGCUUUUGAUAAUUCUAAAAUUCGCAGUUUCUGUUUUCAGUCAUGGAUGCAAUGCAGAGCUAUUUAAAUAUCUUGCCUUUCCUUUUUGUUUAAACAACUUUGUUCUUGGCAGAUAAUUUGAAACUUGAGAUUUGAUUAUUGUUUCCCUAGGUGGUUUCUGCCUUCUGUUGACCAUGUGGGUUAAUGAUUGAUUAAAGGCGAAGGGAUUUUCUCAGAUGAGGGACCUUGGAUCUCAAGCUAUAAUUUAUAGUUUUAAGAAUCUGUAUUUGGUAGAUUCUGUGAAUUUUAGUUUUAUUUUUUUUAGUUGUAAUUUUUCAAGAUUUAAUCAGUGUGGUGGACUAAUCAUGAAAAAGUUUUUGCCAAGAGUGACUGGGCUUUUCCCCUUCUCUAUUUUGUUUCUUUAGUCAGCAAUAAUUUAUGAAUCCCAAUUUUUAAAGGAUUUUAAUUUCAGUUGGUAUGUUUUCUCAUGCAUGUGCUUUCAGGGCUCAAGUGUUUUGAGUCUGAGGACCAUGUGGACAAAGAUGGAUCAGGGAGACAUUUGGUUAUUGCUGCUUUAUCUGAAAUCUACCUUUGGGAGGGAGUGUGAAAUUUCUGUUUUUCUCAGAUACAUAUCUUUAAGUAGAACAAUGAUAUAAAUAUGAACAAUUGAAUUUUUUUCUUUCAGGGUCAGUUCAUAUUUUUGAAGUCUGUGGUUGGAAAAUCCUGAAGUAUUUUUUUCCCCUCUUUUGCAAUUAUUUGUUAAUAUCUGAACCCUUGUGCUCAGAACUACUACUUUUUUUUUUCCCUUUUUUUUGGAACUGUUGGAAAAUGACAACUAUUUUUUUUGCACAUUGAACAUCAAUUUUGUUUCAGCUUCUUAAUUACAACUUGGGUAUGAGCUUUUAUGUUCUGGCUGCCAUUUCCCAUUGUUUUGAGAAUACGUGUGCAGGCUUUACCCUUGGUUUUGGGUGAAUAACAAUAUUUGGGGGACCAUUGUUAUCUAUUUCCCUUUUUUUUUUUUCUUUUUUUCGUUUUUAUAAUUUUUUAUUAUGGUUUUUGUGUAAUCUGACUGUAAUUUGGUCUAAUGCUUCUUAAUAACAGCAAAGUGAGUUUGGACUUUCUUCCUAUCCAUUGGUUUGAGAAUGUAUAGAUCUUUGGUUUGAGGAAGUCUGUCUUUAGUUAUUGGUUCAGAAUUCUUUAUCUAAAAUAAUUGAAAAAGAAUUGAGGUUUUGAUUCUUGUUUUUUCAGGAUCUGCUCUUGUGCAUUGAGAAAAGAAAUUCAGGGAGACAUUGGCAAAGAUUGAUCUAGGAAGUGUCUCUCAAUAAUUGAUAAUAUGUUGUCUUUCUUUUGUGUUAGUUCAUGUCAUACGCAGCAAGUUUAAGGUGUUUGAUCAAAGCUCCAAUGUUGUAUUUGUACAGGUUCCCUUCAAUAUUAGAGAGAGAGAGAGAGAGAGAUCAGUUUAUGAUUAAGAGGGAGUAUUUGUCUUUUGCUGCUAUUGGUAUUGGUCUAAGAUUUGAGUAGUUUGAUGAUAUAAUUUGGCUUUUUUGUUGCUCUUUUUAUGAAGAUCUUAUUUUCUGUUGAGCCUGCAGUUUAAAUUCGCUCCAAUGUUGUAUAUGUCCAUGUCCAGGUAUCUUUUGUUAUGAUCGAGGAGUUUGUGAUGUCCUUUGGUAUUUCUGCAAUUGUUGGUCUGAGAUUCAGUUGUGCUGGAACUUUAUUUUUAUUUUUGUGUUUAGUUGGUUCAUAGUGAAACAUUGUUCUUUACAGAUGGUAAGGGGUUAUUUUCCAUCUGGUAUUGAGUAUAUGGUUGAUCAAGGAUUCCGUUGGACUGGUCUCAAAUUUUGAGGAUUUUGUCAGCAAGACUAAUAUUUGAUUCAAGGGAGUGUUAGGGAGACAGACCAGCAAAGAGUGAUUUGGAGCCCCUUUUUUCUUCUUCUUCUUCUUCUUCUUCUUCCCUUUUUUUUUUUUUGUGUAUAUAGUCGGCUAGAUUAAAUCCCUGUUUCUUAAGGCAAAUGGAAUUGAAUCUAAGUUGGUAUGUGCAUUUGUUUUCAGGUGGUCAAGUUUUUUAAUGUGAGCAGCAUUGUGGACUAAGAGUCUGGGAGAUACUAAGAUCUUAGUGUUCCUUUUCUUUUUUGGCUUCAAUGUUUUUGAGUAAUUAAACUUGUGGAGGGAAUGUGAUAAAAUUUAUGAUUUUGCUCUAAAAAUAUAUGCAAGUGUUAAAAAGAACGAGAAACUGAAUAUGAAUUUAAUCUGUGUGUUUUUCAGGGUCUUAUCCUUGUUUGAGAAAAAUUUGGUGAAAAAAAAAUCCUUCUUUAUUUUAUGUUUUAGUUUUUUUUCCCCCUUCUACCUUAUUUUAGUGUAAGACAACAAGAUGUGAUAACAGCUUGACUAUGGAGUGUUCAUGUUCUUCCAAUGACCUAUUGUUUCAAGAAUGUGGACAGGUUUGAUCAAUAACUUUGUGCUUUAAUUUUUGGUUCAAAAAUGGUCAAUUAACUUUAUUUGUACUCACUUUACCCUAUGGAAGGAUUGAUUAGGCUAAGAUAGUCUAUAUAAAAAUUGUGUGUUGGUUUAUGCCUAUUGAGCUAUUUAGAAUGUGAUAACUGGUUGCAAUAAUCUGUAAUUUUGUCAAUCUUCGAGAUUUAUGUGCACUAUUAUGCAUAAGGGGAGUGAUUAUUUGCUUCUGUACAAAUCUGCCUUACAAUUUUGUGUUUUGUAUUAGUGGAACCUUAGAAAAAUUCCCACAUUAGCUUUUACUUCUGUGUUUUAGGAUUGUUUCUUGGUAGAUUCCUAGAUUUGAGUUUUUCGGUUUUCUCAAUUUGAUUGUUUUUGCUGCUCCUGAUUUUUUGUUUCUUUAAAUCUGUGUUAGUUGUUUAUAGUAGUCGCAAUAUCUGUUCCUAGAUGGAUCUUGUGUUUACAGUUGCCUUUGGACAUGAAGAAAGGGCAAGUUCAUGCCACAGAGAGAAGUACGAAUAUAGUGCAUAAUUAUUUACUUGUGAGGAUUAUUCAAGUUUUUCCCUUCUGUUUUGGUGGCUUCCUGAUUUAAAUCUUUAGUCUGUUUUAAUUGGUCAUCUUAUGGUUGAGCUCUUUGGCAAGUGAACUAAAACGGUAGAUUUGGUUGCUCCAAGGUGUUUCUUUCCAUCCUCUUGAGGCAUGAACUAAGAUUGAGAAAAGGGUUUUUCUUGGAUCUUUGCAUCAAUAAUUUUUGCUUGAAUUUCCAUGUAGCAGUCACCCAUUAUUCUGAGUAUUUUAUUAUUGGUGUGAUUGUACAGGGUCAAGGAGUGAUCUUGUGGUUGAAUCCUAUAUCUUGCUGGCAGAGUAGUCGGGCAGCUUUUUUUUCCCUCUUUAUUUUGUGUUUGGAAACUGUUUUUAUACAUCACUAGUUAUUAGGCACAGAAAACUAGUUUCUAAGUUUGUUCUUUUGUCUUUUUCCAGCUUUUUUAUUUGAGGAAUGCGUUGGCUAGGACUUUUCAGGGAGUUCUUUUUACCCUUCUGAAUAUUGAUUGCCUCCCCAUUAUAUGAAUGGAAUCCCCAAGUGAAUUUGAUUAUAAUAUGAGAAUUUGGUGCUUCUUGUUUCAGGGUGCCUUAGAUUUCAGUAUUCUGAGAAAUCAAACUUAUGGAGGGAUCAGUUUAUGAUAUUGAUCGGGAAGUUUCCUUUUACUGGAAUUCCUUUAAUAUUUAAGAGUGACCCCGUCCUGCCUCUGCCCCAGCCCCCCUUCUCUCUCUCUCUCUCUCUCUCUCUCUCUCUGUUUUUUGGGGAGUGUCCUUUUUUUAUUUUUUAUUUUUGCCCUGAUUAGUUGGUUUCUGCUGCUUAUCAGGUUGGGCAUGAGUCGGAAUAUCCUUUGUUUCCUAAAAAUUUUUUGGUAUCCAAGAAUUAUUCCUUUUUUAUGUUUUUACUUCCCUUAUUUUUAGUGAUUGAGAUUGAUAAUUACAAUUGUGGUCUGAGCUUGUACGAAUUUACCAAAAUUCCCCAUUGUCUUGAAAAUUUGGAUAGGUUUGAAUUUGCUUUUUGAGGACUGUCCAAGUGCAAUGAGAAAUCCAUGGAUUAUCACAUGUGCCAAUUAUUGACAAAGGAAGUUUUUUAAACAAUAAUAUGUUUGCUGUAAUUUCUUGUCAUGUUGAUGUGGUAUAAUAUGUCCAUUUUAAGGUUUUUAAGUUGCAGCUUGCCUUUUGAAUGUUGCCAGGAUCCUUUGGGUGCAUAAGAGACGGGAAGCUUUUAUGGGUGAAUAGGAGACAGGAAGUUUUUAUACAAUAAUAAGUUUGCUGUUAUUUCUUGUUAUGUUGAUGUGGUAAUAUGUCCAGUUUAAGGAGAUUAUUGGAGCUUGCCUUUUGUAUGUUGCCAGGAUCCCACGGAUGCAUAAGAGAGAGGUGCAUAAGAGAGAUUAUUUAUGACCUCAGCUUUAUCAUUAAAUUGGUUUGUUCUUCUGGAUCACUAUUUCCACAUAGCUUUAACAUCCUUCCAGCGACUUGUUUUGAUGGCAUGUGGGUAGGACUGAACCAAUAUUUUGCAAUAUCUUAAAUUAAGAAUGGAAGCGUUGGAUACUUUCUUUUGCAAUAUCUGGAUUUAUGCUUUGACAAAUUGAUGGCUUUAUAUGCAUCAAGACUCAAGUGUUCACUAGAAGAAUAAUCUGCCCACGUACCAUAGUUUCUCAUUGCAUUGGUUGGUAUUCUACAUUGCAAGUUUAAUGUGUUAACCAAAGAUAAUACUUUUAUGUAUGGAGAGAUCAAUUGAUGAUUGGAAAGGGCAAUUUGAUGUUCUUAGCUCAUGCUGUGUCGGUAUUUUGUGGGUGCUUAACAUUUGGCUUUUGAUAAUUUUCAAAUUCUUCUUGCAGUUUCUGUUUUCGGUCAAGGAUUCAAUACAGAGAGGGAGAGAGUAUUUAAAUAUCUUGAUCUUUCUGUGUUCAAAGAAAUUUAUGACAACUUUUGUUCUUGGCAAAUGAAUUUGAAACUUGAGAUUUAAUUAUUGUUUCCAUAGGUGGUUUCUGGCUUCUGUUGACUACGUGGGCUAUGAUUGAUCAAAUGCGAAGGGUUUUUCGCCUCAGAUGAGGGGAAGGGGUUUUCUUGGAUCUGAAAGCUAUAAUUUAUAGUUUGGCAAAUGAAUUUGAAACUUGAGAUUUGAAUAUUGUUUCCAUAGGUGGUUUCUGCUUUCUGUUGACUAUGAGGGCUAUGAUUGAUUAAAUGGGAAGGGUUUUGCCUCAGAUGAGGGGAAGGGGUUUUCUUGGAUCUGAAAGCUAUAAUUUAUAGUUUAUCUGUUAGAGUGGUAGUUUCUGAGAAUUGGUUGUAAUUUUUCAGGAUUUCAUCAGUGUGGUGGACUGAUCAUGAAGUGUUUUGCUAAGAGUGACUGGGGGCUUUCAUUUCUUCUUUUUGUUUCUCUAGUCAACAAUAAUUCUUGAAUUCCUAUUUCUUGAGAAAUUUAAUCUUAGUUUGGUAUGUUUUGUCAUGCUUAUGUUUUCAGGGCUUUGUUGUUUUGAAUCCGAGGACUCUGAACAAAGAUGGAUCUGGGAGAUAUUUUGUUAUUCCUCCUUUAUUUGAAAUCCAACUUUGGGAGUAUGAGAUGAAUUUUUGUUUUUUUCUAAAAUACGUCUUAAGUUGGACAGGAAUUUGAAUCUGAACUAUUAAUUUGCGUUUUCCAGGGUCCCUAUUUUGGAAGCCUAGGGUGUGUGCUUUCUUCCUUUUGCAAUGAUCUGUUAAUAUCUGAAACCUUGCGGUUGUUUCUCUCUCUCUCUCUCUCUCUCUCUCUCUCUCUCUGGAGUUUUGAAAAUUGACUUUAUUUUUUUUCAUAUCGAACAUUAGAUUUUGGUUUCUUAAUUACAGCGUGGGUACAAGCUUGCUGUUCUUGCUGCCACUGCCCAUUGUUUUGAGAAUAUCCCUUGGUUUUUGGGUGAAAAUUUUCUUGGUGAAGAUUUUCUGUCUAAGAACAACGGGACCAUGUUCUGUUUCUUUUUUUUUUUUUUUUUUAGUGAUCAUGGUUUUUGUGUAACCUAGUGUUAUGACUAAGUAGUUCGUGAAUGACAUAAAUAGCCCUUUGCAUUGUAAUUGAUAGGAAUCAUCAAAUCAACAAUACAACAGUUAUUUCCUCUCUCUAAUUGUUCUCUCUCUCUCUCUCUCUCUCUCUCUCUCUUCUUCUUCUUCUUCUUCUUCUAAUUCUGGUGUUAUGGUGUUCUGAGAUUUUGCUAUGUAACACCUAGCUUGUCUAUGCUUCUUAUUACAGAACAGUGAGCUUGGACGUUCUUCCCUUCCAUUGGUUUGAGAAUAAAUAGAUCAUGGUUUGAGAAGUCUCUAUGUCUUUAGUUAUUGGUUCAGAAUUCUUUACUUCAGAUAAUUAAAAAAGAAUGAGAUUUUGCUACUGCUUUUUCAGGAUCUGCUUUAGAGCAUUGAGAAAUUCAGGGACUAGACAUGGGCAAAGAUCAAUAUAGAAAGUCUCUUUCUCGAUAAUUAAUAACAUGCUGUUGAUAAGUUUUUCUUUUUGUGAGUUCAUGUUAUGCACAGCAAGUUUAGUGUAUUGAUCAGAGCUCCAAUGUUGUAUUUGUCCAGGUUUAUCGAGUGAGAUCAGCUUAUGAUUGAGAGGGAGUAUUUUACGUCCUGUGCUGCUGUUGGUAUUUUUUUAGAUGUUGGUCUAAGAUUUAGUGGUUGAUGAUCCUUAAAUUGGGCUUCUUUUUGGGUGGUUUUAUGCAGAUUUUUUUUCCCAAAUGUGGUAACUUGGCAUGAGAACACUGGUCUUUGCAAAUGUAACUGAGACUGGUGAAGGGGGGUUGUUUUCCUUUUUUGUAUCGAGUAUUGAUUGAUCUAGGGAUUUUUGGAUCUUGAUUUAUAACUUAUGAUUUUAUGCAUCCUUGAUAGUUGUAGAUUCUGAGUUCUGGUCACAAAUUUUCAGGCUAAUAGUUGAUCAAGGGAGUGCUUGUGAGAGACGUAUCAGCUAAGAAUAAGUUGGAGAUUUUUUUUUGGGUCCCUUUCUUUUUUGUAUUUAUAGUUAACUAGCACAAAUCCCUAUUUUUUAGGCACUUGGAAUUUGAAUAUGAGUUGGUAUGGUUUAUCAUUCAUUUGUUUUCAGUGGUAAAAUGUUUUAAUGUGAGGAGCUUGCGGACUAAGAUUCUGGAAGAUGCUGACAUCCUUUUAAACUUGUGGAGGGAGUUUGAUAAAUUUUAUGAUUUUCUGCUUUUGAAAUACCAAGGAAUGAGAAACUAAAUAUGAACUUAAUCUUUGUGUUUUUUCAGGGUCUCUCUUUGUUUUGAGAAAUAUUUGGUGAAAAAAGGAAGUGUUUUUCUUCUUUUAAAUUAAUUAGCAACAUUUUAGCUUUUGUUGCUUUUUUUUUUUCUUUUCUUGUCUUUUAUCUUGUGAGACAAUAUGUGAAGAACAGCGCAGGUGUGGAGUGUGCAUGUUCUUCCAAUGACCCCAUUGUAUUGAGAAUGUAGACAGGUUUGAUCAAUAACUGUGCUUUAAUAUUUGGUUUGAAAAUGGUCAAUUAACUUUAUUUUAUACUCCUCCCUAUUGAAGGAUAAGGUUAAGAUACCUUAUAAUUUGUGUUAGUUUUUACCCAUGGAACUGUUUAGUGUCAGAUAAUUGGUUUCGAUAUGCUAUUGUGACGACUUCAGAUUUAUAUGCACUGCUAUCCAUCAGGCGAGUGAAAAUUUGCUUCUAUCUAAAUCUGCCUUACAAUUGUGGUUGUAAUUAGUGAAUGGCACAUGACGGCACAAACUGUGUGUAUUGGAACCUAAGAACAACUCUCAGAUUAGCAACUUCCGUGGUGUUGUAGGAUUGUUUCUUCUUGUCUUCUUAGACUUGCAGUUUUCAGGUUUCUCACCUUAUGCUCGCAAUUUUGUUCAUUUGAUUAUUUUUGCUCCAACUUUCUCAGAAACUCUGGGUUUGUUGGUUCUCUCUAUUAGUUGGUUCUCUCUAUUAGUUUUUUUAUGGUUGUUGCAGUAUUUGUUCCCAGAUGACGUGUUCACGGUUGUCCUUGGACUUGAAGACACUGCAAGUUCAUGCCACAGAGGACAGGAUGAAUACAGCGUGUAUUUCUUUCUUGUGAGGACGCUGCAGAGCUUCAAUGAGAAUCCUGCAUGUGUUAUGGCUUGUAGUUUGGUUGCUUCAGUCUCUUGUUCUUUUUUUGUAUCCGUGCCCUUCCAGAAGUCUUGUUUUCUUCUUGGGUCUUCUUUCAGUUCACAUAGCUUGCUGUUUUGCAGUUGCUGAAUGGAUUGGAACUGGGAUGUAGUAGGGUGGCAUUUUUGUGGUUGGUAUUAUAUAGUUUAGUAAGUACUGCAACUGGAUACAGACAUUGGAGGCCAGGACAAAGAUGAUGGUUUAAAUUAUCUGGCUUGACCCUUUCUAUCUGACAAGUCAUUUACAUCAUAUCACGGUCUAAAUCCCUGAUGAUGGCAAUUUCUAUCAUAAGAAAUUAAUGUUGUAACUUUGUUUUCUGGAGAUAACCAGUGGUUUGAUUUUGUUUAUGUGGUUUUUCAUGUUUGGAUCAGUGAUAUAAGGCGGCAAGAAAAUAGAAGCUGGCUUGGGCUUUUUUUUUUCUUUGACUUGAUACGAGAUGGUGAUUUCUCUGAUCGCUGAUGUUGCUUCUUCCUUGUAAUGCAUUAUUCUCUGUGGUAUUACAUCCGAGUCGUGCUUUGUAUCAGUAUGAGCUUGUGUUAGUCCUUUGAUGUUUCUGUAAGGUUAUCAGUGAUGCUAGCUGCAUCUAGUAUUUGCUUCUCUGAUGUUGAUUCUUUGUUAUUAUCAACUUCCUUCCUCCGAUAUUUUUCUCGUUUUUAGAAGGAAUUGUGGCUGGCUGUUCAUGUGCAAGCUUUGCAGAUGUUCUUGUGAUUGGAGAAAGCAAAGGGAAGGCACUUACUUCUUGUAAGCGAAGGAAGAACGCUGAUACUUAUUAUAUGUCACAAAUAUCUCAAGGUUAUGUGUUUUGGGCAUUUAUGAUAAUUUUUGCCUCUGUUGUCUAAUUAUGGUGAUCUUUGGUUUUCUGAUUCAUGGGUGCACGUAAAAGUUUCUCAUAUGUUGGGGAAGAUGAUGGGACAUGUAUUUUCUUUUCGUUCUGUUUUAGCGUUUUGAUGUUAUUUGGUGCUCGCUGAAUAAUAUGUUGCUGAUAUUGGGUACUGGUAAUGAUGUUGCUGAUGAUCUGUUAUCGUCCCUUUUACACUAAGCGAAUCUGGUUAAUUCUUAUCAACUUCGUCAAGGUGUGUUCCAUGGUCUUCUUUUUUCUAGGAGUAUGUAGUUAUGUUUUGUUUGUUUGUUUUUGGGUUUUUUUUUUUUUUUAAUGCAUGUAACUCCGCCUGUGUUGUAUACGCAGCUGGUCCCAAGCCCAGAUAAAGGAGGAGGGUUUUAAAAUAAGUAAUUUGGAUGGGGCUGUUAUUAAUUUAUGUUUUGGAAAUUGUUCUGUAGAGAUGAGCUUUGGAUGCUCUCAUUUGCAAUAUUUGUAUUUUUGCUCUGACAAAUUGAUGGCUUUACAUGCACCAAGAUUCAAGCGUUCGCUAAAAUAAUAAUCUGGCCAUGAUACCAUAGUUUCUCGUUACAUUGGUUGGUAUUCUACAUUGCAAGUUCUAGCUGUUAACCAAAGAUGACACUUUUAUGUAUAGAAAGAUUAAUAGAUGAUUGGAAUGGGCAAUUUGAUGUUUUUAGCUUAUGCUAUACCGGUACUUUGUGGGUAUCUGAUAUUUGGCUUUUGAUAAUUUUCAAACUCUUCUUGAAAGUAUUUAAAUUUCUUGAUCUCUCUGUGUUCAAAGAAAUUUAUGACUACUUUUAUUCUUGGCAAAUGAAUUUGAAACUUGAGAUUUGAUUAUUGUUUCCUUGGUUUCUUUCUUCUUUUGACUACGCGGGCUAUGAUUGAUCAAGGGCAAAGGGUUUCCCUCAGAUGAGGGGGGGAGGGGUUUUCUUGAAUCUGAAAGCUAUAAUUUAUAGUUUUGAGUAUCUGUCAGAGUGAUAGAUUCUGGGAAUUGGUUGAAAUUUUUUUUCAGGAUUUAAUCAGUGUGGUGGACUCAUCGUGAAAUGUUAGUGAUAUUAGCUGGGAGUGACGGGAGCUUUCCUUUCUCCUUUUUGUUUCUUUAAUCAACAAUAAUUAUUGAAUCCCUAUUUCUGGAGAAUUUUAAUCUCAGUUUGGUAUGUUUGUCAUGCAUAUGUUUUCAGGGCUUCAUUGUUUUGAAUCCGAGGCCUCUUAGCAAAGAUGGUUUUGGGAGAUAUUUUGUUAUUGCUCCUUUAUUUGAAAUCCAACUUUGGGAGACGAAUUUUAGUUUUUUCUAAAAUACAUGUCUUAAGUUGGGCAAGAAUUUGAAUCUGAACUAUUGAUUUGUGUUUUCCAGGUCCCUACUUUGGAAGCCAGUGGUGUGUUUUUUCCUCCUUUUGCAAUGAUCUGUUAAUAUCUGAACGCUUGCAGUUUCUCUCUCUCUCUUGUGGAAGUUUUGAAAAUUGACUUUAUUUUUUGCAUAUUAAAUAUUAAUUAGAUUUUGGCUUCUUAAUUACAGCUUGGAUCUACCACUGCCCAUUGUUUUGAGAAUAUCCCUUGGUUUUUGGAUGAAAAUUUUCUGUCCAAGAACAAGAUUUUGGGGGACCAUUGUUCUGUUUCUUUUUUUUUUUUUUAUUUAGUGAUCAUGGUUUUUGUUCUAUGCUUCGUAGUUAUACGUGGGCGUUCUUCCCAUCCAUUGGUUUGAGAGUAUAUAGAUCAUUGGUUUGAGAAGUCUCUACUCUACGUCUUUAGUUAUUGGUUAAGAAUUCUUUACUUCAAAUAAUUAAAAAAGAAUGAGAUUUUGAUCCUUGCUUUUUCAGAAUCAGCUCUAGAGCACUGAGAAAUUUUAGGGACGAACCAAACAUGGGCAAAGAUAAUAUAGAAAGGGUUUCUUUAGAUAAUUAAUAGCAUGCUGUCCAUAAGUUUUUCUUUUUGUGAGUUCAUGUUAUGCACAGCAAGUUUAGGGUGUUGAUCAGAGGUCCAAUGUAACUUUAGGGUGUUGAUCAGAGGUCCAAUGUUGUAUUUGUCCAGGUUCCCUUCGGUAUUAGAGAGAGAGGUCAGUUUAUGAUUGAGAGGGAGUAUUUAAGUCUCUUGCCGCUGUUGCUAUUUUGUUAGGCGUGGGUCUAAGAUUGAGUAGUGAUGAUAUAAUUUGGCUUUUUUGCCGUUCUUUUAUAAAGAUCAAAUUUUCUGUUGCGCUUUAGAGCUCCAAUGUUGUAUUUGUCCAGGUUCCCUUCGGUAUUAGAGAGAGAGAAAUCAGUUUAUGAUUGCGAGGGAAUAUUUUAAGUCUUUUGCCGCUGUUGGUAUUUUGUUAGGCGUGGGUCUAAGAUUGAGUAGUUUGAUGAUAUAAUUUGGCUUUUUUGCCAUUCUUUUUAUGAAGAUCUUAUAUUCUGUUGCGCUGGCAAUUUAAAUUCGCUCCAAUGUUGUAUAUGUCCACGUCAAUGUUAUGUUUUGUUAUGAUUGAGGAGUAUGUGAUGUCCUUUGGUAUUUCUGCAAAUGUUGGUCUGAGAUUCAAUUGUGCUGGAACUUUAUUUUUUAUGAAACAUUGUUCUUUGCAAAUGGUACUGAUACUGGAGAUUUGCUGUUAAGGGGUUGUUUUCCAUCUCAUAUUGAGUAUAUGGUUGAUCAAGGGAUUCUUGGAUCUUAAUUUGUAACUUGUGAUUUUAUGCAUCCUUGAUAGAUGUAGAUUCUGAGUACUGGUCACAAAUUUUCAGGAUUCCAUCGGACGAGUCUCUAAUUUUCAUGAUUCUGGCAGCAGGACAAAUAUUUGAUCAAGGGAAUGUUAGAGAGACAUACCAACGAAGAGUGAUUUGGAGCUUCUGUUUUCUUCCCUCUCUUUUUGUAUAUAUAGUCAGCUAGCAUAAAUAUCUGUUUUUUAAGGCAAGUAGAAUUUGAAUCUAAGUUGGUAAGUGCAUUUGUUUUCAGGGGUCAAAGUGUUUUAAUGCGAGCAGCAUGCGGACUAAGAUUGUGGGAGAUGCUAAGAUCUUGGUGUUCCUUUUCUCUUUUGGCUUCAAUGUUUUGAGUAAUUAAACUUGUGGAGGCAGUGUGAUAAAAUUUAUGAUUUUUCUCUUUAAAUAAAUGCAUGUGUUAAAAAGAACGAGAAACUGAAUAUGAAUUUAACAUUUGUGUGUUUUUCAGGGUCUUAUCCUGGUUAGAGAAAUAUUUGGUGAAAAAAAAAGGAAGUAUUCUUCCUUUUUCUUCUUUAUUUUGGUGUAUUAGUUCUUUUCUUUUACCUUAUUUAGUGUAAGACAACAAGAUGUGAUAACAACUUGAGUAUGGAGUGUGCAUGUUCUUCCAGUGACCCCAUUGUUUUGAGAGAAUGUGGACGGGUUUGAUCAAUAACUUUGUGCUUUAAUUUUUGGUUGGAAAAUGGUCAAUGAACUUUAUUUUGUACUCCUUUACCCUAUGGAAGGAUUAGGCCAAGAUAAUUUACAAAUAAAUUGUGUUAGUUUUUGCCUACGGAGUUAUUUAGAUUCUGUAAGUGCUUGCAAUAUUAUGGGAUUUUGUCAUCUUCCAGAUUUAUAUGCACUAUUAUGCAUCAAGAGAGUAAUAAUUUGCUUCUGUACAAAUCUACCAUAGAAAAACUCCCAGAUUAGCUUUUACUUUUGUGUUGUAGGAUUAUUUCUCGUUUGAUUCUCAGAUUUGGGUUUUCCAGUUUUCUCGACUUGAUUGUUUUUGCUUCCGAAGGAACUUGGGCUUUUUUUUUUUUAUUUUAGAUCUAUGUUAGUUGUUUAUAGUAGUCGCAAUAUCUAUUCCUAGAUGGAUCUUGUGUUUACAGUUGCCCUUAGACAUGAAGACACCGCAAGUUCAUGCCACGGAGAAAAGGAUGAAUAUAGUGCCUAUUUAUUUACUUGUGAGGAACCUGCAGCUUCAAUGGGAAUCCUGCAUGUGUGAAAUGAUGGCGUGUUAUAGUUUGGUUGCUUCAGUUGCUUCAGUCUUGUCUUUUGCCUUUUUAGAAGUUUUGUUUUUAUUCUUGGGUCCUCUUCCAAGUUUACAUAACUUGCUAUAUUGUAGUUGCUGAAUGAGUUGGAAGUAGUAUGGUGGCAUUUUUUAUGGUUGGUAUCAUAUCUUGAAUACUUCGGGAGGCCAGGAAAGAGAUGCUGGUUUAUAAUUUUUGGCUUGCUUCAUCUCCCUCACUCUCUAUCUGACGAGUAAUGUAUAUUAUAUCUCUGCCUAAAUUCCAAAUGGCAAUUUCUACCAUAAGAAGUUUUUGCUGUAGCUUGGUUUUCUGGAGAUGACCUCUUUGCUAUUGUUGUUGUGGUUUUUAAUGUUUGGUCAGUGAGAGAAGGUAGCAAGAAAGUAGAAGCUGGCUUGGGUUUUUUGUCCUUUGACUUCAUGUGAAACGGUGAUUUUUCUGAUCACUACUGUCGCUUCCCCCUUCUUUGUAUGUAUCCUGUGUGCAUUAUUCUCAAUUAGUGAUGAUGAUGAACUGUCUAUAUAUCUCUAUGCCAUUUCAAAGUUGCGCAUUGUCCCCGGUAUGGGUUUUGUGUUACUCCUUUCUCGCCUCUUGGUUCGCACAACAAAUUGAUGUUUUCGUAAGGCUGUGAACGAUGCUGCUGCAAGUAUUUGCUUCUCUGAUGUUUGCUACUUUGUUAUUAUCGACUUCCUUUAUCCCUCUCCUAUAACUGUUCAUGAGCAAAGCCUUGCAGAUGUUCGUGUUUGGAGUAAGCAAAGGAAAGACGCAUACUUCUCGUAAGCAAAAGGAAAGGCACUGAUACUUCUUGUUUGUCUCAAAUAUCCCAAGGCUGUGUGUUUUUGGGCAUCAUCAUAGUAAUAUUUGGCUAUGUAAGUGUUGUUGCCAGUGGCUUCCUGGGUUCUCAAUUGGUGUCUAAUAAUUGACUCUCAGGUGACGUGAAAACAAGAAGAAAGAUGAGGUCUAGUGGUUGUUUAAUAGUCACUCAAAUGUUUCAAUCAGUAAUAAAUUAUAUUGAAAUGUUGAAAUUAUAUUGCCCUAUUUAGUUUUUAGAAUGUAUGUUGUCCUCAGUCUCAAAUUUGUUUAUAUAAAGAUUGAGAUGGUAAUUACUUAUAAUCACGGUUGGAUCUUUGCCAUUUCGUUAUGUAGGUUAUAAUGGAACGUACUUCAAUUAUUAUGUUUAAUUUUAGGCAUGAUCUUCGGCCGUUUCAAUUUCAAAA
This is a long non-coding RNA of Hevea brasiliensis (rubber tree), 16481 nucleotides long. RefSeq lists it as uncharacterized. The transcript is spliced from 2 exons. Lineage: Eukaryota; Viridiplantae; Streptophyta; Magnoliopsida; Malpighiales; Euphorbiaceae. The record is from RefSeq and is a predicted model, not a curated record.